This is a non-coding RNA of Vicia faba (fava bean), 270 nucleotides long. NCBI's taxonomy places the organism in Eukaryota, Viridiplantae, Streptophyta, Magnoliopsida, Fabales, Fabaceae. The record is from the annotation of a GenBank genome assembly.
AUGCUUCAGUCGACACUCUCAGAGAGUGUUGUGUCUGAUGACUCAGUUUUUCUUGCUGGUUUUGGUGGUGGUGGUAGUUUUUUCCUUUGUCUCAUGGAGAAGAGUUAUUCCAGUUUCUCAUGUGUCAUUGCUAAAAUACUUCUAGUGGGUAGGGAUUCUCUUCUGUGGAAAAUUACCAUGAGAGAGUCCCAAUAUCUGAGUGAUAGCCUCUUCCCGGCUCUACUAUACUAUAUUAAUCGGAAUGAUAACAAUAUGUCUGAAAUAUUCUGA